Molecule: ribosomal RNA, 239 nt
Filed under: uncultured bacterium
Lineage: Bacteria
Description: partial 16S ribosomal RNA
Rfam family: Bacterial small subunit ribosomal RNA
Source: RNAcentral
UACGUAGGUGGCAAGCGUUAUCCGGAAUUACUGGGCGUAAAGCGCACGCAGGCGGCCUUUUAAGUUUGACGUGAAAGCUCCCGGCUUAACUGGGAGAGGUCGUUUGAAUACUGGAAGACUUGAGGCAAUGAGAGGGGUGUAGAAUUCCCGGUGUAGUGGUGGAAUGCGUAGAUAUCGGGGGGAAUACCAGUGGCGAAAGCGGCACCCUAGCGUUAGCCUGACGCUCAUGUGCGAAAGCG